GGUUGACCUCGGAUCAGGUAGGUAC
This 25-nucleotide ribosomal RNA is filed under the name Pezicula carpinea. RNAcentral's name for it is "partial 28S ribosomal RNA". Lineage: Eukaryota; Fungi; Ascomycota; Leotiomycetes; Helotiales; Dermateaceae. The record is from RNAcentral.